CAUCAUUAUGAUCAUCAUCAUCAUCUCCCACAUCUUUCUACUUCGCUUUGCUCUGGCUCUCUCUCUCUCUCUCUCUCUCUCUCUCGCGCACUCACUGGGCAGGAGACUGGAGUGGGGAGAAAGAAAGCGCAGCAAAUUGAAAUGGCGGCAUCAUCUCCACCACCACCUCCUCCUCCUCCGCCUCCUCUCCACCCGCAUUUGCGUAUUCCCUACUCUGCCCCUGCCCGCCUCCUGCUUUUCCUGUUGCUUAUAACUCACCCCGUUUCUUUGGCGGUUAACAUCACCGCCGUGCUCUCAGCCUACCGCGACCUCUCCGACUUCAAUCGCCUACUUAGCUCCACCUCCGUCCCCGGCGACCUCGCGGGACGCUCCUCCCUCACCAUCCUCGCCGUCCCCAACGCCUACCUCCUCCGCUCCUCGGCCGCCCGCACCGCCGCGGCCUCUGACAUCGCCGACGUCCUCCGCUACCACGUCCUCCUCGAGUACCUCUCGUGGCCCGACCUCCGCCGCAUCCCGACCGGCGGGAAGCUCGUCACCACUCUGUACCAGACCACCGGCAGGGCCGCCGGAAACCUCGGCGCCGUCAACCUCACCCGCGACGAGGGGGGCGGCGUCACCGCGCGCUCGCCCGCCCCCUUCUCCGCCUCCAACGCCACCAUCCUCGACCUCGUCGGCACCCACCCCUACAACGUCUCCGUCUUCGCCGUCAACGCGCUCCUCCUCCCCUACGGGUUCGACCUCGCCGCCUCGGAGACGCGCCCUCCCGUCGGGGUCAACAUCACGCGGGUCCUCUUCGACGGCCGCGACUUCAACGUGGCCGCCUCCAUGCUCGAGGCGUCGGGCGUCGCAGCAGAGUUCGAGGCCGACGAGCGCGGCGCCGGAAUCACCGUCUUCGUCCCCACCGACGAGGCCUUCGCAGAUCUCCCGGCCACCGAGCGGCUGCAGUCUUUGCCGGCGGACCGCAAGGCGGUGGUGCUCCGCUUCCACGUGCUCCACUCCUACUACCCCCUCGGCUCCCUCGAGUCCAUCGUCAACCCCGUCCAGCCCACGCUCGCCACCGAGGACACCGGCGCCGGCCGCUUUACCCUCAACAUCACGCGUGUCAACGGCUCGGUGGCCAUCGACACCGGCGUGGUCCAGGCGUCCAUCACGCGCACCGUGUUCGACCAGAACCCGGUGGCCGUAUUCGCCGUCUCCAAGGUGCUACUGCCGAGGGAGAUCUUCCCGGGGGAGACCAGCGGAGCGAUGCAGGCGGCAGCCGCUGCGCCGCCGCCGGUGGAGGCGGCGGGUCUCCCGCCGCAGGGGGCCGAGGACUGGGACACGCCGCCGGCGAGGCUGUCGUCGCCGCCGGGCCUCAGAGAGGAGCUUACGUCCGGGGCGGCCGUCCGCGAUGGGGUUGCCGUGUCCUGUAUAGCGUCGCUCUUUCUAAUGCAGCUGCUGAGAAAGCAACUUGAUAGCCGAUCUUACCUGGUGGAUCUGGUUCUUCUUUACUUUCUCUUUUUUUUUUCCUUCUUUCUCAAGAUUAAGCAAACAAGUACAAUCGAAGGGGCUGUUGAAGUUUCAGUCAACAGGGAAAUCUGCGUCAUGAUUUUGACUGUGUUCGAGGGGCUUUAUGAUUUUGGGCAGGAAAGGUGAAAAAUGUUUUGUACGAAAAGGGGAUUUGGAUUCACAAGAAGGAUACUUGUUCUCACAGGUGGAAGGCCUUGGUGACUCAAAUCAGCAUUCUAUUGCUAUUUUAAGGAAUUGGGAGAUGCUGCUUACCCAUUUUUUUGUUCACCAUGGAGAGAGAAUAUAGAUCUAAAGGGAGAAAAAGAAUAAAGAUAUAACUCAGAACUCUGUCUCAACUUGCACUUACGCGAUGCGGAGUGGGGCAUGUGCUAGAAGUUGCAUCAGCACCAACACAUUAAAACCUUAUGCAUGUUGGAGGUUGAGUUUGUGGAUGGCACAUUGCAUCUCAAUGUCAUUAGACCCUGAGCCAGGAAAUUGCGAACCGAGGAAAGCACAACAUGUUUUUAUCAAGUUUCAGUCACGAGCGAUUUGGUGCCAAAUCCUGAAAGAUCGAUGAAGAAUGAGAUUUUAUGUUAGACAUUUUGCGCUUUCAUUACUCGUGUGAUACUGUAAUGCUCUAAUUUGUUAUAUUGGUGAACCAAGUCAAUGGAAGAUGGAUUUCUUCUGUAUAUGCUGCUAUAGUUUUGUCAAAUCGUGACACCAUGUGAGCGUAGCAUGAGUUUGGAUCACAUGUUGAAUGUUUUUACCGAGUCCAGGAAAUCCUAAAGCAUUGGAUUUGAGAUUUGUUCUGGUAGAACAAAAUGAGAUGGUUGUGGAUCUGACCGUGACGACUGAGGCCUAAUGCUUCAGCAUAUGAAACUCAUGGUCUAAUGUUUGCUGUGUCUUUUGGCUUUGACUUGGGAAUGUAUAUAGAAUCCAGAGGAUAUGCUUGCCAUAA
This is a non-coding RNA of Musa acuminata subsp. malaccensis (wild Malaysian banana), 2446 nucleotides long. The record is from RefSeq and is a predicted model, not a curated record. Lineage: Eukaryota; Viridiplantae; Streptophyta; Magnoliopsida; Zingiberales; Musaceae.